RNAcentral lists this long non-coding RNA (1430 nucleotides) under Pogona vitticeps (central bearded dragon). RNAcentral describes it as "lncRNA (ENSPVIG00000004534.1)". Lineage: Eukaryota; Metazoa; Chordata; Lepidosauria; Squamata; Agamidae. The record is from RNAcentral.
UUUUUUUUUGGAUGGUGUGGGGGAGAACUUAGCGUUGCGGUUGUGUGCACGCGUGUGCGUGUGUGCGCGCGCGAGUGUAAAAGCAGGGCGAAAGGGGUGUGCGAGGGGGUUGCACCCCCCCGCCUCUCUCCGGCUUGUCUGCGCGCACGUUCGCGCGCGCGCGUGUGUGUGUGUGAGAGAGAGAGCACGUGUGUGUUGUGUGUGUGUUUGUGUGUGUGUGUCGUUCUGACCGCCGAAAGCCUCUCGCUUUUCCACGCCACUUUUUUUUUUCAAUUUUAAUUUUUUUAAAAAGUGGCUUCCGUGGGGAUGCCUCCGAAGCACACGCGCGCACACGCACGCACACAUACACCCAUGCCAACAAUGAAAAAGGAGCACAUGAAACUUAGCACCCCCCAGCAACUGGACUGGCAGCGGACCCUCCUUGGCUGUGGAAUUCCCGGAGAUGGUUCUGAAGAAAACCGCACGUUCACACAUUGAUUAGAAACAGGAAGAAGGAAAACAGGCAACAGACCAACAGUACUUUCACCAACUCCAAGUUGAAGAUCGUCUCUGCAGGGUGGAGGAACACAUCACACUUCUGCAUAUGUAAGAGAACAAGAUAUGUUAAGAAGAAACCUUCUGGCUGAGAACACCCAAAUUCAGCAGCCUACUUCCAGCCAUAAGAUACCUGUCACCUCUUGGAAAGCUUCAGUGAAGAUGUCAACCCAACGAUUCCCCUUCUUCCUUGCAUCCAGUGUAUCUGGGAUUGAAAGAGUAUUCUUGAGUACUGGAGGGUGUUCCAUGAGCAGUAUAUGCCAGCUGCAGGCCACCUGCUGCCAACCCCUGAAACACUGUGCAUCAUAACUGACAACAUUUGGACUCCAGUGGGGCACAUUGCCAAGGGCAUCAUCAAGUACAGACUGAACUCAUCCUAGAAGAGGAGGAUGCAAGGUCGGUGAUACAGCUGUGGAACAUUCCUGUAUCCAUCACGAUUCAAAAAGAUCUCCCCCUAGAAGAAUUCUAGGGUUAUUUUAUGAAAAAUUCCCUUAGCUGUUCAACAGAAGUGCAGGGAUUCACAGAGCAGAACAGCUGAGUUCCCUACUCCUUUUUUCCCCUCAUCAACUGGCACUUAGAGUCUCAGUUACUCACUCAGAGAUAUUAGUGGGAGAAAGAUUAAAAAAAAUCUAUUACUCAAACUCAACUAGAUCAAACAGCAAACUGGCAAAAUAUGGCUGCUUGCAGCAACAGGCCUCAACACUUUCACAGACUGCAAGAGAGGUGGAAAAAAGGCAGAGCAGAGACGCAGGGUUCUCUUUGCAUCAGAGGCGAGAGGGAGCCAUUGGUUAGUGCUGGAUAGAUUGACAGUCACCCCAGCCCUGAAAGGUCCCUCCCAGCCAAACAUACUAAAGGCAGCAUGCGAGGUUGCAAUAAAACUCCAACAGAAUUGUGCA